Molecule: long non-coding RNA, 1074 nt
Organism: Planococcus citri (citrus mealybug)
Lineage: Eukaryota; Metazoa; Arthropoda; Insecta; Hemiptera; Pseudococcidae
Exons: 2
Source: RefSeq, a predicted model, not a curated record
AAUGCUAAAACGCACAUACACAGAGAUGAAAUUUAUUUUAAAAAAAUUAAAACAAAAAAAACGUACGUAAAACACACAAACACCACAUCUACACACACACAAGACAGGACACCACAUCCACACACACGUCACACUCGAAAAAACGACUAAGUCAAGAAAAAAAAAUUCCGCCCCAGCCUGCCAUUUAUAACAAAACAGACGCUCGUUGUCAGUGUAGCCACUUGAAGUCAAUUUUUCGACAUCCAUGUGUAUGUUGUCUAUGUUAUUUACUUGUCUUAUCUUGUUUUCAAAGAGAUAAGUGAUGAAAAUUCUUCUCAUUGAAAAUAGAAGUUGAAAUUUAAUAAAUACGUGUUUUCAUUUCAUAUUUUUAGUAAAAUAAGUUUCUUUAUCAUGUCAGAGGUACUCGAACAACUCCGCCGUGAGUUACAAACUGAACGAGCACAGAAUACUCAGUUGGCCAACGACAAAACCAUCCUCCAAGAACAGCUGAAUAUGUGCAAAGAAUCCUUGAAAUCAGUCCGUGCAAUCCAGCAGUUUCGAGCGUUGAUCGAAUCCCUUGAGUAUCAGUUUACCGCCCUCGCUCCGGAGUUUAUAAAUCAAAACAUACUUAAUCAAAAUCCACAAGACAAGUUUACUAGCAGAGUGGAGAAAUGGAAGUGGAUCCUAGAAUUUUCCCCCGAUCCUCGCGCGAAAAAGAUUAGUCAUGAACUUAGAGCUUUUGAUGCCGUGGAUAGCUUUUGUGAAUGGAUAUCGUCGCUGUGUAUAAUAAACUGCCCAAAAGCGAUCCAUUUACCUGGGGCAAAGGCACUAGCGCCUCACGAAGUGUACGAAGAACUCGUCAACAAUGAAAUUGCCCUAGAUGAGUGGAGUAAAUGUGCGAUGCGAAUAAUAUUGUGCGAUAUCAACGAUAUGCCAUUUCCGACCGCUGAUUCAUUAAACACUGCUUCUUCGAAUUCCGAAUCCAUGAACAUCUAAUUUUACCAAUUUUAUUUGUAAAUUACGUACAUACUGUAUAUAGACACUAUAGUGAGUGUGUUAUAUGAAAUUUUUAUCAUUAAAAGUAGUCUAGAUUUA